This 296-nucleotide long non-coding RNA is filed under the name Linum usitatissimum (flax). RNAcentral's name for it is "long non-coding RNA (LUSI_LNC003053)". Lineage: Eukaryota; Viridiplantae; Streptophyta; Magnoliopsida; Malpighiales; Linaceae. The record is from RNAcentral.
AAAAAGCAUGUCACCAGUUAGUUCCAAAACCACCGCGCUAUCCCUGGAGAAGUAUGUCUUCAUCUUUGCUUCAGACACUAAAAUUGGUUGCACGUUAGCUGCAUCUUCAACUAUUCUAGGAACUCUUAGUCAGAUUAUCUUCGCAUUACCUCCAGUAGCCGGAUCUUGGAUGGAAGCCCUAUAUAUUCCACGCAUAAGCUCUUGUCAGGUGGGUCUGAUGCAUUCGUCGAGACUCCCGUGGUUAGGCAUCAGCAUCAGCCUUAUUAUGAACUCCUUGUAGAAGUCCACAUCCCCAC